GCCUGGGUGGCUCAGUGGGUUAAGCAUCUGACUUCAGCUCAGGUCAUGAUCUCACAGUCUGUGAGUUCGAGCCCCGCAUCGGGCU
RNAcentral lists this transfer RNA (85 nucleotides) under Felis catus (domestic cat). It matches the Rfam family "tRNA". Rfam says of the family: Transfer RNA (tRNA) molecules are approximately 80 nucleotides in length. Their secondary structure includes four short double-helical elements and three loops (D, anti-codon, and T loops). Lineage: Eukaryota; Metazoa; Chordata; Mammalia; Carnivora; Felidae. RNAcentral also lists the same sequence under 2 other names. The record is from Rfam by way of RNAcentral.